AAAUUAACUUUAUUUUUCAGCUUUACCUCAUCUGGAUGCGGUAACAAAACUGGCACACCCAGAAAGGAUACAGAUGUAGGGCAUAAUUAAAGAAGAUGCUUUUGGUAAAGGGGCGCGAAGACGAAAGUAACAAAGAUAGACAUGUAGGUUGGAAUUCUACAACACUGGGUUGAAAUGUAAGCUUUGCCACACUCUGUGACCUGUCCUCCGUAAGCCUGUUUUCUCACAUAACGGCCUGGAUUUGAGAUCACUGCCCUGACUGUUAAAACAGUCUCAGCCUUUUACAUCAUUGGUGCAUCCCUCUGUGGCCAUGUGAGACCACUCUGGUCUAGGUGAAGGAGAGAAGGCCACAGUGGUUAAAGUCCUUUGAGGGCCUGGACUUGGCUCAGUGAGCCUUACUGGCUUUACAGGCUGGUGACCCCUAAACCUUAGGUAGCGGGGGAUAGGGGUUGGGGCAGGUCAGCACCUGUUCCGGGGUGAGGAAGCCAAUGAAAAUAGAACUUUCCAAUUCCACUCCUAAUUUGUUUCAAACCAUGUUCUGCCCAAAUGGAGAUCUGAACUCUUUCGUAACCGGUCCUGCCCCUGUUGUCAUCCCUUUAAUCUUUGUUCUGACAAAUCUGUAAGUUAUCCCAACAGCCUUUCCACGGGUGGUACCUCUGACCCCAUCACAACUUGUUUUCAGAUGACCUUUAUUCUCUCCUAAAACUAAAUAUGGACUCUUCUACGGCUCUCUUUUUUGCCUUCUAGGUUUGAGUUUUCUCCUCUCUGUAUCCAAAAUGCUCAAUAUUCUUACAGUAGAUGCUGAUGAACAGGGAAAUAGCUCCCUCACCUGCAUGGGAGGGCUUAAAAACCUGGAAAUUUUUUAAAAAACUGUAUUUCAGUACUAGACUGAUAGGCUUUUUAAAGAGAUUAUUCUAAAUUCCUACCUGGUGUCCAGCCGAGAAGAUGCUUGAACAGAGUUGAUAGUUCACAAACUUCUGUUUUUAUCUUCCUAUCUCUGGUUUAGAACUGUGAAGUGAUUAUAUUUAAUUCACUGUUCCUACUCAGAAGUAAUACCUAAAAUAAUUUAGGUUGUAGAAAAUCUCUUAACAACCCCUAUAGUCUUUAGGAAUUAAAUUUGUUUUCCUCAUGACUGGUAAUUCAGGGUCUCCCAACAUGGUCACUUGUGCCAACUAACUACUUUGUUAAACUUGGAAGUACAGGGAAGAUGACAAAGGGAAACCACUGGGAACCCCCUUUUUUUUUCUAGGGAAGAGAUGAAGUUAGCCCAUCUGUUCACUUAUGGAUCAAGAAGUGGACUCCUCAUCCUACGAAUGUCUUAUUCCUUGGGUGGUGCUUACAAGAGGUGACCCA
RNAcentral lists this long non-coding RNA (1353 nucleotides) under Canis lupus familiaris (dog). RNAcentral describes it as "lncRNA (ENSCAFG00000050192.1, ENSCAFG00845011329.1)". Lineage: Eukaryota; Metazoa; Chordata; Mammalia; Carnivora; Canidae. The record is from RNAcentral.